AAGACAAAAGGCGGGCUCUCAUACUAAAACUGGGAUGACCAGAGAAGAUCAGCAUGGCCCCUGCACAAGGAUGACAUGUAAAUCUGUGAAGCAUUCCAUUUCUUU
Molecule: small nuclear RNA, 105 nt
Organism: Cervus hanglu yarkandensis (Yarkand deer)
Lineage: Eukaryota; Metazoa; Chordata; Mammalia; Artiodactyla; Cervidae
Source: Ensembl